Lolium rigidum is the source of this 428-nucleotide long non-coding RNA. RefSeq lists it as uncharacterized. The transcript is spliced from 4 exons. The record is from RefSeq and is a predicted model, not a curated record. Lineage: Eukaryota; Viridiplantae; Streptophyta; Magnoliopsida; Poales; Poaceae.
UUCUUAAAGGUUUAUCAGAAGCUGAGAAUUUGACAUUGAUAGAUGAACAUGACACGUUUAUUUUCAGAAGGGAUUUGAAAUGGUGCCCUACAUUUAGUAAGUUAAAGAUUUUGAUACUCAAUGAAUACUGGUGUGUGUCUACUGACUUCCGGGCACUAGCUUGUAUUCUUGAACACUCGCCAGUUCUCGAGAUUCUCACUCUUCAUUUAUUUUCCAAGGGACCAAAACAUAAAGUAGAAAUAAGAGGAUGUUGCAAUGCAGUGGAGAGCUCAUCUGCAAUAUCAGAACACCUUAAGACAGUCGAAGUCAAAUGUAACUUGGUUGAUGUGGAGGUUCUGAAAAUUUUGAAGUUCCUUGGUACACUUAACAUUAGUUUUGAGGAAGAGAACACCUUGGUCGAAGACAGAUGGCCUAUUUCAUCUUAAUUA